RNAcentral lists this ribosomal RNA (217 nucleotides) under Glomeromycotina sp. RNAcentral describes it as "partial small subunit ribosomal RNA". The stretch from base 41 to 217 matches the Rfam family "Eukaryotic small subunit ribosomal RNA", at positions 686 to 864 of the family's 1831-position model. Lineage: Eukaryota; Fungi; Glomeromycota. The record is from RNAcentral.
GGGGUCAGUAGGUUGGUCGUGCCACCGGUACGUACUGGUCUCACUGAUUCCUCCUUCCUGAAGAACCGUAAUGCCAUUAAUUUGGUGUUGCGGGGAAACAGGACUGUUACUUUGAAAAAAUUAGAGUGUUUAAAGCAAGCUAACGCUUGAAUACAUUAGCAUGGAAUAAUGAAAUAGGACGAUCGAUCCUAUUUUGUUGGUUUCUAGGAUUGACGUA